Pelobates cultripes (western spadefoot toad) is the source of this 215-nucleotide non-coding RNA. The record is from the annotation of a GenBank genome assembly. NCBI's taxonomy places the organism in Eukaryota, Metazoa, Chordata, Amphibia, Anura, Pelobatidae.
CAACAGCUUCGUGAGAAAUCCAUCACGUACAAGUGGGGGCCACACCGGCUAUUGGUGGAGAGAGAAGGCAAGACGCACAUCCUAACACAUAAAUCGGAAGAGCCAGCUUUCCUUCGAGCCCUGGGCCUACCAGCCGAGGCAGCCCCGGCGGUCACCCACCCUACAUGGACUGUCGCAAACAUCAGCCCAUUUGUGCCUAGGGGAACAAGAAUGAG